GACGAACGCUGGCGGCGUGCUUAACACAUGCAAGUCGAACGAAGAGCGAUGGAAGCUUGCUUCUAUCAAUCUUAGUGGCGAACGGGUGAGUAACGCGUAAUCAACCUGCCCUUCAGAAGGGGACAACAGUUGGAAACGACUGCUAAUACCGCAUACGAUCUAAUCUCGGCAUCGAGGAUAGAUGAAAGGUGGCCUCUACAUGUAAGCUAUCACUGAAGGAGGGGAUUGCGUCUGAUUAGCUAGUUGGAGGGGUAACGGCCCACCAAGGCGAUGAUCAGUAGCCGGUCUGAGAGGAUGAACGGCCACAUUGGGACUGAGACACGGCCCAGACUCCUACGGGAGGCAGCAGUGGGGAAUCUUCCGCAAUGGACGAAAGUCUGACGGAGCAACGCCGCGUGAGUGAUGACGGCCUUCGGGUUGUAAAGCUCUGUUAAUCGGGACGAAAGGCCUUCUUGCGAAUAGUGAGAAGGAUUGACGGUACCGGAAUAGAAAGCCACGGCUAACUACGUG
Molecule: ribosomal RNA, 510 nt
Filed under: uncultured bacterium
Lineage: Bacteria
Description: partial 16S ribosomal RNA
Rfam family: Bacterial small subunit ribosomal RNA
Source: RNAcentral